Molecule: long non-coding RNA, 7119 nt
Organism: Mus musculus (house mouse)
Lineage: Eukaryota; Metazoa; Chordata; Mammalia; Rodentia; Muridae
Product: predicted gene, 32896
Exons: 2
Source: RefSeq, a predicted model, not a curated record
UUUUUUUUUGUAAUAGCAGCAGGUGCAACCUUUUGUAUUUUCAAAGCAUUGAUUUUCAUUUUCGUGUGGGCAGACACCGGAUCCACCUGAGAGCACGGGGCUAGGAGAGCAGCCCAGGCUGCGUCAGAGUCUCAGGGAAUAGAAUUCAGCUCGGUUCUCCGUCCCAGCCCUCUGAGAAGGCGGGAGGGAAUGUUUGAGUCCCGGACGACUUUUCCCGUCCGGAGAGCGGCAGCCAGUGCAGCCGGUGGCUUGAGGGAGGAAGGUAGGAGCCAGGUGGGGGGCCUCCCUCGGCCGGCUCGGGCGGCGGCUGCGGAGGAAAGCUCUGGGCGCGGUGGCGGGAGAGCCAGCUCUGGGGAGCGGCUUGGUUUUUGCCCUCGUUUUGUUUAACUGUAGCAAAUUGGAAAUUUCUUUUCUUAAUUCACUGUCAAAGAGAUGAACCCCCCCACCCCAUCCCAUUCGCCAACCCAGCUGCCUCCGGCGGUAGACCGGCGCGGCUUGUUCUGCCCCGCACUACCGGAUCCAGAGGUGCGAAGCUGGAGUCUUGAGCGCCGGGUCUGGCUGCCCCAUCGCUCAGCGCGGAACUCCAGCCCGGCCCGCGGGGCUGGAGCCUCAGCUGCGCGCGCGAGGGAGUGGCAGGCGCAAGAGCUGUCCCGCCCCUGGGGGCGAAUAGUGGUAGUGAACUUGGCUAGGGCAGCCGAUUUUCAUUCUCAGCGUGUUUACCUGCACCCCCAUCCUCUCCAACGUUUGCUUUUCUAGGCUUCAGAAACCCGGCCAAUUAAAAUAACGCGCCAUACUCCCUUAGGCUGCAGAGCCCGAGGCUGGGACGGCACAGGCGGAGCUGCUUAGACUAUCCACCCCCCCCGCACCCCCCCCCGCACCCCCCCGCCCCAGGCCUCCGCUGGCCACUUUCUGGUUUUCAGGGUUUUCUGUUCAUAACCCUGAAUUACAUUACUAGACGUUGUGUUUAAAUUUUAAUUUAAAGAAGCGCUACCCUAACAGUCUGAGAACAACAACAACAACAACAACAAAACAAAAACAAAAACAAAAUCAAAACCUCCCAAAACAGGCAAGCAUUUGCUACUACCAGAAGGGCUGUACACUCCAGAGGCAUAUUUGGUCAGAGGGCCCAGAGGUUCUCAGCCCUAUGGUUGACAGUCCCAGGCACAAAACUGACUCCAGACACUCCCUUCUGAGGAUGGGGUCCUGAACCCAACAGCAAGAACAAUUCUGAGAAGAGCAGUGCUUUGUUCAUUUAAAAAAACAAAUGUCCUGUCUUUGCUUUUUUGAAGCUGUGUGUGAGUUUCCUAGGUGUCUAGUAUCUCCUCUUAGAGACUGGUCUAAGAAUCGCUGAAGUUGAUGAAGUGGAGAAGACCCUCAUCUGCAGAGGAGGUUUGUGCUUGUGUGUUUUGUGUGCCUCUGAGAUGCUGUAAUAAUGUGAGGAUGUCUUCGGUAAGCAAGCUGAAGUGUUAGUGUGUGACUGUGUGACAGGUGUGUGCAAAUGUCUUAUUAGUACUCUGUGCUGUUUGUAUUUCUCUCUCUCUUUCACUCUCUCUCUCCUGAUCAGGAUAUCCCAGGACACAUGUGCAGAAGAUAAGGAUUAUUCAUAUUCACCACCCAACAGCAUUUUGCUGUGCUUGGAUCUCAGGAUCUCAUUGUGGAGUGAACAAUAUGUUCUUCCAUAACAGGAGAGUUAAUGAAAAUAAUUUCUACUUGAGGUUCCUUUCUCUCUGCCUGCCUCCCAUCCUGUCAAAGCAAAGCCUUGGGUAUAUGAAGCUGGGAAGUGAAAGGAGCCAACUGAGGAGAAGGAAGGAACUGCUCAGAGGAGGACCCCAGAGCAGUCACCAUCUUCUUCCUAACACCACCCCAGGUCCAAGGAAAUCAUUCACAUCACACAUGUUGUUAUUCAUGCCAUUAUUAUUAUUAUUAUUAUUAUUAUUAACCACUAUGCAAGUCAGAGCAGUAGUGUCUUGGCAGGAGUGAGUGAAAUAUUUAGGGGUGUUAAUGAAAGGGGUCACCUGGAUAUUUCAGAUUUACCUGCUACCUCUCAUGCUUCCUUCAGGACUGACCCUCCCUGUGUCCUGUCUCUUAAAGUGUUUACCCAAGGCUGGAAAGAAUGACUUCCUACUUAGGUGAGCUUCUGCCCUCCUCUGCAGCCCACCCAGUGAUAGUGACACUGUUUGGAUUUGGGCUUAGCUCUUGGAAGAGGAGGGCAUCUACUAUCCAUUGCCUCUCUGACAGGUGUCUAGGGAGUUACUAUAGGACCCCUCAGAAACCUCCCGGAUGCCAGGUCCCUUCAUGUGAAAACGGCAGUUGAAGAGGCUCCUGGCAAAGCAUUACUGUUUUAAAGGUGCCAAGCUGCACUUGUAGGCUUCUGGCUUUCUGACACAGCAGAGUGUUAGGGGUAAAAAUAUUGCAGUCGGGUGUCUCAAAAGAAUGACUAGAGGGGCAAGACCCCUGGGAUAUGUAUGGCAUGUGCUUAGGCUGGCUUUUUGGUACCCUUGUCCUUGAUAUUCUAGGAAGUGUUAAGUUCCCCACCCCGCCCCUUAAAUCUCAGAUCAUCAAAGAGAAAUGUAAUUAGGGAAAGAUAGUGGCAAAGUAUUAUUCACAGUGACAUUUAAGUAGACCUAGACCUUUUUCUCCAACUGUCACUCCAUGGCCACAAUUAUUCCAUCCACUGAGAGAGAGGAGACCAGCCAAUGGAAGGGUAACCUGGGGCAACAGCUUUUUGUUUUCUUUCUGGUUCAGGAGUGAAUGCUUUGUUGCUGACUCAUCUCUGAGGACGUCAGGAUGUCCUGUGGUGGUGAAGGUGUUUGAGGACAGAUAAGGUCACUUACCUCUGCUCCUCCUCUCCUCUUUAAGGAGAGAUUACAUUCUCUCAUGGCACCGCAUCCUCCUUCUAGCCAUCUACCACUCCCUUCUCUCUGGUACCCACGGAACCACACACGUUCAGACCUGCUUUGGCUGUUGUGCCUGUAGCUUCCCUUCUACUUGGUCAGAGAACAAGAAUCUAGUCCCUUCCAUUACUGUCACUCCCCGCCACCACAACAGAGAUGCUCACAUACGGGUACUCAAGAUAGUGCUCACUGAUAAAUUUAACUUGUGCUUAUUCCUCUGCUCCCAGAGAACAGGAGAUAUGGCCCUACGUCAGCACUCUGUGGGAAGGAUUCAGGGUCAGGUGUGAGAACACAUGAGAGCACAGCCUCAUGAAUUUGCCUGGCUUAGCCUGGAGGCAUAACCACUCAGCCAUCCUUGCAUUCAUCCAGCCCCUCUGAUCUCCCACAGGAAAGGUUGGAGAAAAGACACGUCUGCAAAGAGCUCACUCACUGUCACUGUCACUGUCACUGUUAGAGAGCAAAGUCACACCAAGCGAAAAGCCCCAGAACAGCAAACUGCAACAGAUGGUUAAAUGUCUUCCAGGCUUGAGGAUUUCCACAAGGAGGAAAUAGAAAGCAGAAAGCAUACAAGUUGAGGGUGAGAAGUGGGAUGAACUAACUGUGAGGUGGGUAGUGGCUUAGAGGAGAGAGAGGUUCUUGCGAAGCAGGAUGCCAGGGUAUUCUACUGCAAAGAGCUGGAGAGCGGCCUGCUUAAGGCUGCAGAGGGUGUGGAGCACAAGCUGAGUGCAUCUCCCUUCUGUAAGUGUUGUUUGGGUAGAGACCGACUCAAGUCAUUGUCCAAGAACAGAGUGCAUGCAGGGUCACAGGAGCCCUCGGAGAGGGUGGAGCUGUGUAGGCAUUGGCAGCCAAGGAAGACUUCCUGGAGAAGGGGGCCAUGAUGUGGUUCCAUGGGAGAGAGCACUCAGCCUCAGCUGAGGCAAUGGUUGGAGUGACCCAGGGCGGGAGUGAACAGUCAUCUGUGGCAUUUCUAGCAACAAGGACAGGCUCCCAGAAGCUCCCGUAGAUUAGGUAGAGGGUGAGGAAGCAGGGUGGGACUUGGAGGGUUUAGCCUUUUGUGAACUGAGCCAUAAGCUCAGAGUUUCCUUGCCCUUGAAUAAUUUGGGAAAGCUCUGUAAUAUAAAGCUCAGUGAAGAAGAGAAAAAACAGUUCUCACCACCUCUGUUAAUUUUAGCAGCAUCUUGUCACCACCAAAAGACCUCCUUGUCCUGUUCUGAGCCCACAGCAAACCUAGCCAGGGAACCAAAUUUAUUAGAGGGAAGGAGAAAAUAGGAAGAUGGAAGCUGUAUGUUUGUUCUCCAGGGCCGCUUAGAAGAAUAGAACAUCACUAGGGACACUAACUAGUACCAGGUACAGGUACUGGUAGACAACGGUCCCCUAUGCUGUUUUUCUUGCUAUCUCGAUCUGAAGGACACACUUCCUUGGUCCAGUGUGGGCUGGGAUUCUCCAGUUGUAUUCAUUGACUGGUCAACUCCUGUUAUAGGCUUUUGCCCCAGUUUCUCAGUUUUGUUGAUGACAGGCUGCCAGUGAAAGAACAGCAUGAGAACAAAGGGAUUUCAAGUCUAGGUUGGGGACAUCCUGUGUAGUCAGAGUACAGAGUCAGAUGCAGGAGAAGGUUAUCAUUUUCUUGGACUUCAGCUUUCCUGUCUGUAAAAUGGAAGCAAAAAUCCUUUCUCCAGCCCCCUUUCUUUCCUCCUCUCCUAUCUCAGAGACAGCGAUAUGUCUGAGGUUUUCAUGUAAAAAAAAUUAUUAUUAAAAUGAGAAAGUAGGGAUUGAGGUAUAAACAGGAGAUAGGAGAAGGAAUAUAGACUUAAUGAUCUCCAUUGCAGGGCAUCAGUGAGCUAGGAACUAGCUGGUUAUCUUCCCCAGAGUAUGACUGUCUCUUGAAAGAGGACUGUGCCCAGAACUGCAGAAGCAGAUGUCUUGAAACCUGCCAGUUUCAAGUCCUGCCUCUCCCACUUAUUAGCUGUAUGACUUUGGACAGGUUGUUUAGUGUCUCUGUGGCUCAGUUUCCACAUUUGUAAAAUCGGCAGAGAUACAGAGCCUGGCUCGUAGAGUCGUUGUGAAGAUUAAAUGAGUAAGUGCAGGUAAAGAGUUCAGAUCAAUGUCCGGACAGCCGAUAGUAUUGGAGCAUCACUAACAGGCCUCUGGGGGCUGAGGGAAUGCUCGAGCCCCUCCCAACUCCUGCAGGACCACAGGGUUGAGCCCUAGAACUAGGUGCCCAGUUGUGAGGUGGAUGUGUGGCUGUGCUUACAGACUGUACUCUGAUUUCCUUAUAUACCCCCUGGGGAUAGAAAUAUUUAGAUAUCACAAAGCUGUAUCACAGCUGUCUUCUGGUGGCUUGUCCUGUGUACCUGCUGCUAGCACUCUGGACCCGUCUUCUUACCUGUGAGGUGUUACAGAAGUAAGUCUUUUUAAUUGUGAUGUUUUACUAAUUAGUUUUUAAUUAUGUUAAUUUAUUGUACAUGAGCCCUGAGGUUUGCAGACACUAGCUCACUUGGAAGCUGGAAUAGUAGGUUGCGUUUAUCACACAAAAUGCUGUGCUGCACGUCACUGCAGCAUGCCUCAUGGUUUCUCUAACACUCUUGAAUCAGCAAGUCCUACCUGGGCUUUCUCAUCCUAACUUUUUCCAUGGCUGCAAGGUACUUAAUCUGGUACAGAGACUCAACACUGUCAGGUUGGGCAGAUAAGGAGUGAGAGCUGGGUGAGGCUGGGAGGACACUGGGUAGGGCUUAGGAAAGUGAGCCUUCACCAGGCCAGGCUUCUAAGAAUGGUUAUGCUGGCCAGACCCUUGGACUUGCUCACUUUGGUAGAAUUCUCCUGGAAAAGCAUGCUGGACCUGGUACUGCUGCAGACAUGUCCAGUGGUCUACAGUAUAGCACAGUAUUGCUAUCUACAAAGUUUACAUGCAAGAAGAAUCAUGCAAUGCAGCCUUUUUUUUUUAAUCCCAACAAUAAUCACACAAUUCUUUUAAAAGUAAGUUUAUAAUUUUGUGUUAGGCUACAUUAUAGCUAUUUUCAGCUGCAUGUGUCCUGUCAGUUGCAGGCUGAGCACCCUUGGAACAGCUUGUCAAAGGGCCUACAGUCAUGUGGUCUGGGAGAGGCAGCAGAAGUUGAAGAUGAGGAUAAUGAAUGCAUGGGCCGUCAGGGACCUGGGGGGGGGGCGUAGACAGAGGCAGGCUCAUGUUCCAAGUUGUGUUUAUCUGUGUGGGGUUGGGCAUGUAAGCUUUGCAGCAAGGCUGUCGGGAUUUGGACACCAUGACCAGGAGUUUAUUGUCUAAGGAUAAAAUAGAAAAGCAUAACCAAUAGCACAAGACUGAAGGAGAUAUCAGGAGUUUGGGAAGGACAAAUGUAACAGGGAGAACACCUCUCUCCAAACACAUGUGCAGAAGGGGUGGGUCACCCUAUGGGGUUCAUCCCUUCCAGGUCAUUUCCACUGUCAAAUAAUAGUGUCCUGCUGCUAUAAGGAAUAUGCCAAAGAAGAACUCUCAGUUUUAAGGACACCACAUUUCCCUCAACACUCGCCUGACUGCAGCCUUCUUUUAAUAAGUUUCUCAUCCUUUAAACUGUCCAUGCGGAGUUGUGUGUACAAAUUCUGGUCCCUUGCCCAAUGCACAUAGUAAUGUAAGUUUGUCUCAGAGAGCCUAUUUGAAAGAAAUACACUCUAUAAAUGACACCUGAACAUUUACUGUGUCAAAAUCUGUAUAUGAGGCAUAUAUUUCACUGCUGAAUAUACACACAGAUAGGUUCAUGUCUUGUACUUAGGAAGAGAAACAGUUUGGGUUCAGGACAUAGUUUAGGAAUGUCUGAAGUACAUACAUGAGAGUCUGAGUUCUGCUCCCCAGCUCUGAUAGCAAAAUCCUGGUACGGUAGGGCAUGCCUCUAAUUCCAGCCUCGGGAGGUGGAGAAAGCUGUAUUCUUGGGUUUGUUGGGAAGUCAGUCUAGGUAAGUUGGUGAUCUCCAGGUUCAAUGACUCAAAAAUAACAAUAAAAAUGAUAAUGCACUAGGGCUUAAGAGAUGGCUCAGUUGAUAGGAGUUUGUGCUGCUCUUUCUGAGAAUGGGAAUUUAGUUCCCAGCACCCAUGUUAGGAGGUUCAUAAUCUCCUUAACUCUAGUUAACCCAGGCAACCCAGUGCCCUUUUUUGGUUUAGGCAGACACCAGUGCAUGAGUACACACACACACACACACACACACACACACACACACACACAAACACACAAACACACAAA